Molecule: ribosomal RNA, 1438 nt
Filed under: metagenome
Description: bacterial SSU rRNA
Rfam family: Archaeal small subunit ribosomal RNA
Source: RNAcentral
UCCGGUUGAUCCUGCCGGAGGUCACCGUUAUCAGGUUUCGACUUAGCCAUGCGAGGCGCGAGCUAUUUGGGCUCGCCGAACUGCUCAGUAACACGUAGCUAACCUAACCUCAAGUGGAGGAUAAUCUUGCGAAAGUGAGGCUAAUACUCCAUAGUUGUUGAAUGCUGGAAUGCUUUAACAACCAAAGUCACGGCGCUUGAGGAUGGGGCUGCGACCUAUCAUGGUAGUUGUGAGUAUAAAAUACUCAUAAGCCCGUAACGGGUAGGGGCCAUGAGAGUGGAAGCCUCGAGAUGCCUUCUGAGACAUGAAGGCAGGUCCUACGGGACGCAGCAGGUACGAAAACUUUCCAAUAGCUUAACGGCUGAGAGGGGAAGCCUGAGUGACUAUGCUUUGCAUAGUCUUUUGUUUUGCCUAAAAAGCAAGACGAAUAAGUGGGUAAGACGGGUGGCAGCCGCCGCGGUAAUACCCGCGCCACGAAUGGUGACCACGAUUAUUGGGUCUAAAGCGUCCGUAGCCGGUCAAACAAGUUCUUGGUUAAAUCCAGCAGUUGACUGUUGGCUUGCUGAGAAUACUGUUUAACUUGAGAUUGGGAAAGGAGAAAGGUACUCCACGUGUAGGGGUUAAAUCCUUUAAUCCGUGGAGGACCUCCGGUGGCGAAGGCGUUUCUCUGGAACAAGUCUGACGGUGAGGGACGAAAGCUAGGGGAGCAAACGGGAUUAGAUACCCCGAUAGUCCUAGCUGUAAACGAUGCCCACUUGAUGUUGCAAACUCUACGGGAGUUUGCAGUGUCGGAGCGUAGGUGUUAAGUGGGCCACCUGGGGAGUACAGCCGCAAGGUUGAAACUUAAGGGAAUUGGCGGGAGAGCACACAAGGGGUGGAGGCUGCGGUUCAAUCGGAUUCAACGCCGAACAUCUCACAAGGGUCGACAGCAGAAUGAAGGUCAUCCUGAAGGGCUUACCAAACAAGCUGAGAGGUGUUGCAUGGCCAUCGUCAGCUCGUACCUUGAGGCGUGCAGUUAGGUCUGUUAACGAGCGAGACCCACGCUGCCAUUUGCUAUCAUACUUUCAGAUAAUAUCAAAAAAGUAUGAGCACUAUGGUAGGACCGCUGGUGAUAAACCAGAGAAAGGAGUGGGCGACGGUAGGUCCGUAUGGCCCGGAUACCCUUGGCUACACGCGGCCUACAGUGGUUGGGACAAUGCGUUGCAACGCCGAAAGGCGAAGCCAAUCGUCAAACCCAACCUCAGUUCAGAUUGAGGGCUGUAACUCGCCCUCAUGAAGCCGGAAUCCCUAGUAAGCGAACGUCAUAAUCGUUUGCUGAAUACGUCCCUGCUCUUUGCACACACCGCCUGUCAAGCCAUGCGAGUAGAUUUUUGGUGAGGUUUAGCUUUAACUAACUCGAGCCAAAAGUUUGCGAGUGGGGCUAAGUCAUAACAAGGUA